RNAcentral lists this ribosomal RNA (496 nucleotides) under uncultured Arthrobacter sp. Its description in RNAcentral is "partial 16S ribosomal RNA". The record is from RNAcentral. Lineage: Bacteria; Bacillati; Actinomycetota; Actinomycetes; Micrococcales; Micrococcaceae.
CACGUAGUUAGCCGGCGCUUCUUCUGCAAGUACCCUCAACCAGACAAUGCCUGGCCUUGUUCCCUACUGAAAGAGGUUUACAACCCGAAGGCCGUCAUCCCUCACGCGGCGUCGCUGCAUCAGGCUUUCGCCCAUUGUGCAAUAUUCCCCACUGCUGCCUCCCGUAGGAGUCUGGGCCGUGUCUCAGUCCCAGUGUGGCCGGUCACCCUCUCAGGCCGGCUACCCGUCGUCGCCUUGGUGAGCCAUUACCUCACCAACAAGCUGAUAGGCCGCGAGUCCAUCCAAAACCAAUAAAUCUUUCAACCAAACCCCAUGCGAGGAAAAGUCAAUAUCCAGUAUUAGACCCCGUUUCCAAGGCUUAAUCCCAGAGUUAAGGGCAGGUUACUCACGUGUUACUCACCGUUCGCCACUAAUCCCCCGCAAGCGGGGUUCAUCGUUCGACUUGCAUGUGUUAAGCACGCCGCCAGCGUUCAUCCUGAGCCAGGAUCAAAACUCU